This 320-nucleotide unclassified non-coding RNA is filed under the name uncultured Endogone. Its description in RNAcentral is "sequence contains ITS2". Lineage: Eukaryota; Fungi; Mucoromycota; Endogonomycetes; Endogonales; Endogonaceae. The record is from RNAcentral.
AACGCAUAUUGCACUCUCUGGUAUUCCGGAGAGUACACCUGUUUCAGUAUCAAAAAUGUCUUCCAAAGUUUUGGUUUGUUUUUAUAUAUACCAAAUCUUAUGGGAUUUGGGUUUUGCAGAACCUUUACGUUCGGCUGGCCUUAAAUUAUUUUAGCCAUAAAAGGUCUCGGAUAAGGCGUAAUAGUUGGUACCUCUGGGUCCAUCCCUUUCGCUGAAGCCAAUCUUUUUAAUUUCUGGCUCAAUAAAUAUGGAAAAAUGAAAUAUAUAUAUUUCAUCAUUGUUUAGAUCUGAAAUCAGGUGGGAUUACCCGCUGAACUUAA